Molecule: long non-coding RNA, 621 nt
Organism: Crotalus tigris (Tiger rattlesnake)
Lineage: Eukaryota; Metazoa; Chordata; Lepidosauria; Squamata; Viperidae
Exons: 3
Source: RefSeq, a predicted model, not a curated record
CUUGAGCCCCCUCAGUGCUUGACUAGAGUCAUUUUGAAUUUUGAAUAUUGGAAAUGCUAUUUCUAGAGUAAUGUCAUUCCUUUGGGAAAUGAAAUAUAGUGAUCAUCUUGGCUGAUCUACCAGUCACUUUUCCUUCCUUUUUUCUAAAUAGUGAAGCACUUUGCUUUGGGGACUGGCAUUUUGCCCUGCAUUCUCCAACAGAGCCACUGCAGAGCCAUUGACGACUACUGAUGCCUUUGGAUAAUUUACUGUGGCUCAUAAGUGGACUAGACUAUCCUCUUCUGGAAUUGCCAUGACCACAUGUCCACCAUGGUAACCACAAGAAAUACCAAAAUUUGAUUGAGCAGAAGCUACUGGGUUCUAUUUCAGGUAAAACUUAUUUUAAAUUAUGGUGUCUGCUAGAAGUGCCUCUCUUCAUUCCAGAUUCAUUCCAUUAUUCCAAAACCUUAGGAUUAUUAGAAGUUUAAUUUCUAGGUAGAGCAUAGCUAUUGUCUUAAUUUGAGUACACAGGCAGAAUUACUAAAUUAACAACUACUAUUUCUCCUCAACUCCUCUUGUGAUUCACGUGGAAUAUGAAGAUGUUUUCUAGUCUAUCUGUGGUCAUAGGAACACAUGAAUGCA